RNAcentral lists this ribosomal RNA (780 nucleotides) under uncultured archaeon. RNAcentral describes it as "bacterial SSU rRNA". It matches the Rfam family "Archaeal small subunit ribosomal RNA", at positions 1 to 765 of the family's 1478-position model. The record is from RNAcentral.
UCCGGUUGAUCCUGCCGGACCCCACUGCUAUCGGGAUAGGACUAAGACAUGCUAGUCGUGCGCUUCAGCCAAAACGAGGCGCGGCAUACAGCUCAGUAACACGUGGCUAAUCUGCCCUUGGGACGAAAACGACCCCGGGAAACUGGGGCUAAUUUUCGAUAGGUGAAGAACUCUGGAAUGAGUCUUCGCUUAAAAAGCUUCACGUUACGCUCGUGAAGUCGCCCAAGGAUGAGGCCGCGACCGAUCAGGUUGUUGGUGAGGUAAUGGCUCACCAAGCCUUUUACCGGUGCGGGCCGUGAGAGCGGGAGCCCGGAGAUGGGCACUGAGACAAGGGCCCAGGCCCUACGGGGCGCAGCAGUCGCGAAAACUUUGCAUACACGAAAGUGUGACAGGGCUAUCCCGAGUGCCAUCCGCUGAGGAAGGCUUUUACCCAGUCUAGAACGCUGGGGGAAUAAGGAGAGGGCAAGUCUGGUGUCAGCCGCCGCGGUAAUACCAGCUCUCCGAGUGGUGUGGAUGUUUAUUGGGCCUAAAGCAUCCGUAGCUGGCUAAGUAAGUCCUUGUUAAAUCCACCGAAUUAAUCGUUGGAUUGCGGGGGAUACUGCUUGGCUAGAGGACGAGAGAGGCAGACGGUAUUUCCGGGGUAGGGGUGAAAUCCUAUAAUCCCGGGAAGACCACCAGUGGCGAAGGCUGCCUGCUAGAACGCGCCCGACGGUGAGGGAUGAAAGCUAGGGGAGCGAACCGGAUUAGAUACCCGGGUAGUGCCAGCUGUAAACGAUGCAG